CUGACUUGGAACCCUGCUUUUUAGCAUUUGUGUUAGGUGCAGUCUCUAAGAGUGUUGCUACCUUUCUCACAUAUCCUUCAAUCAGGUGUAAGGUGAUGAUACAAGCUGGAGAUCCAAAUGACGACGAUGGUGGUGGUGCGCAAGUAAUUUAUCAUAAUCCACAUGACUGGUGCAUUAGUGUGUAAUUAUAUUUUGUACUUUCAUUCUUGAGUCUUGUUGUUCCUUUGUGUUGAGAUGGUAUUUUGUUGAGCAAAGUUCAGUCAAUUGGAGAAAAAGAAACUCUCAUUCAUGUACAAGCAAUUCAGUUGUUUUGUAUCCCGAAUAUCCUGUUAAAUUUACUACUUUUUUCACCUAAACAAAAGUAUUGAUCACCUACUCUUUUAAGGUAAUGAUUGUUCUUUAGGAAUUCAUAUAAUUGAAUCUUUUUUGCUUCACUACCUUUUUUAAUAACUAAAAAAAUGUUUAUUUAACUUUUAAUCUGUAAAUCUUUAAUAUAGCAUUGCUUGAAAUUUGUGUGCAUGUUUCAGGAAGAAUAUUGUUGGUCAGUAUUAUGGCCACACCUCCUUCACUCUUCCUAGGCUCUUUUGAGUUGUAAAACCCAGUAGAAGAAAAAUGGAGAAAAAAUUAUCAGUGAAAAAUAAACUAGCCAUGCAGUAUUUCACUCUUCACCAAUUUCUCCAAAUCUUUUCUAUAAUUACUGUCAAAUUCUUAAUAAAUUUCCAAGUUGGUGUAUUUCAC
Cannabis sativa is the source of this 738-nucleotide long non-coding RNA. RefSeq lists it as uncharacterized. The record is from RefSeq and is a predicted model, not a curated record. The transcript is spliced from 3 exons. Lineage: Eukaryota; Viridiplantae; Streptophyta; Magnoliopsida; Rosales; Cannabaceae.